AACAAAAAAAAAAAAAAAAAGGAACUCUAAAAAUCAAAAACCCUCAUUUCAAUCUUCUCCAAACCCCCCGCACACUCCACGCCUAAUCCAUUUUUCAGAGGAUUUGGUUCGAUCCAAUUGAAUGGCGCAUAAUUAAUCUUCAUAUUGAAAUUCGAUCUCCGUUCUUCGAAUCUUUUGCCAUCGCAAUCUCAAUUUGUCCGCGGAUUUCGAUUAUUUUUCUUUAGUUUAAAGCUCUUUUGACUUUUCAUGAAGGAAAGAAGUUGAAAGUUUGUGAAUUUGAUCAUAUUGAUUAGGAGAUAAUAAAUUGAUUGUGGAAAUCAAGGGUUGUUGUUUAGAUUAAAAGGGGAUUUGGAGAUAUGGAUUCGAGUAGGAGAGCGGUGGAGUCGUACUGGAGAUCGAAGAUGGUCGAUACUGUAACCUCCCAGGAAGACAAGGUAACGCCUGUUUACAAAUUGGAAGAGAUUUGUGAGCUCUUGCGGUCUUCUCAUGUCAGUAUCGUUAAAGAGGUAUCAGAAUUUAUCUUGAAGCGGCUUGAACAUAAGAGCCCCAUUGUUAAACAAAAGGCUCUGAGGUUGAUAAAAUAUGCUGUGGGCAAGUCAGGUGUGGAGUUCAGGAGGGAAAUGCAAAGACAUUCAGCUGCUGUACGCCAAUUAUUUCAUUACAGGGGUCAGACAGAUCCUUUGAAGGGGGAUGCCCUUAAUAAGGCUGUGAGGGACACUGCUCAUGAGGCUAUCUCUGCUAUUUUUUCAGAGGAGAAUAAGCCAACAACUACUGAAGAUCUUAACGAACGGAUACAAGGAUUUGGGAAUACAAAUUUUGAAAUGCCAUCAGAAGAUAGGAAAUCGUUUCUUAGUGAGGUAGUUGGUAUUGGAAGUGCAUCUAUUAAGCAGGGACUUAGUAACUUCACACAAGGCCAUUCAUUACGAAAGAAUGACAAUGGAAGCUACAAAGGUCCUAAUCUUCGUAGGUCAUUGACCAUAGAAAAUGAUCACGCAGAUAGAUAUGAACCAGUUCAGUUACGCAAUGAAACUCAGGGUAGUUUUGGAGUUUUGAAGAAUGCAACUAGUGGACCUUGGGGCCAGGACAGUAGGGUCUCAAAUGCUGAGACAAAAAAUGGGGGCUCCAGUUCAAGUUAUACAGAGAGUAAGACUCGUGAGGAGAGAUUAUUGGAGACUAUUGUAACAUCUGGUGGCAUACGUCUACAACCCACCCGUGAUGCCAUUCAAGUUUUUCUAUUAGAGGCAGCAAAGUUGGAUGCACGUGCCCUAAGUCAUGCCCUUGAAUCUAAGCUCCAGUCUCCUGUGUGGCAGGUUUGCAUGAAAGCUGUGUGUGUGCUUGAGUCAAUACUGAGGAAAAGGGAUGAUGAGCAUUUUUCAAUUGUAACUUCAUACUUCUGUGAAAAUAAGGAUACUGUUGUCAGAUGUACUGAGUCUCCUCAAUCUUCUCUAAGGGAAAAGUCUACGAAGGUAAGUAUUUCUCAUGAAUAUGUAUCAGGUUCUGCUUUUACUUACCUAAUUUGCUCUGCUUUUUCCCACCACAGGGGAUGCUGUGGUUAAUUUCUGGAUGUGAUAAGUUGUUAAAAACUUAUAUGCUAGGCUUGCUUCUCAACUGUUAUAGCAAUCAUCACUGUAAUCAUUGGUUCAAGGACUGAAUUAUUAAUAGUAAAGCAACUGGACAUCUUUGAUGCCUAAGUCAUUGGACAUUGCUAGAGGGAUUCCUGCUACGGAACUUCAAUCUUUCAGCUUCUUUUGGGAAUGUUUAGAUCAUAGUGUUGCUCCUUAUUAGAAUAACAUCAUUAAGCCUACAUGACUAAUAAUCUAGUACUAAUUUGGGUGGCCUACACUAGUUGAUAAUUAAAUAACUCAUUUUAACUUUUAGCCAAAUCCUUUAAUUUGAAAAAUAAGGUUAGAUUUUCUUUAUUUUGUUUACUUCUUUUUUGCCUUGCCCCUUACUAGAAUAACAUUAUUUUUAUCUUAUUAGCUGGUCCGUGUGUUCGCUUUUUGAUAAUUCAGAAGAUAUUAAUAUGGUACAAACUGAUAUAGAUCACAUAGAGAUUCUUUUAAAAUUCACAAGGUUACAUUAUGUGGCUAUAAAAGUUUGGCCUUUGAUGAACAGGUAUUGAGCCUUUUGGGUGGGGAACGGGCAGGUCCCUUUAUGGGAAAUUCAGAAAAGUCAGUUAAGGAUGAGACCGCUUCUGUUCAGAUGCCUGACUUAAUAGACACGGGAGAUUCAAAUGAUUUCUUUGAAACAAAUGAUUCUAUAAAGGAGCCAAUUGAUGAGAAGACGGCAAAUCUGACAAUGCCCACAACAAAUUUAAUUGAUGACCUAUUUGGAGAUAGUUAUGAUGGUGGGAACUCCAGAGAACAAAAAAAAUGAUGAUGAUCCCUUUGCAGAUGUUUCAUUCCACACUAAUGAGAGUAGAGAACAUGCAGAUGAUCUCUUUUCUGGGAUGACUGUUGACAGUAAACCAGGCACUAAUGAGAAUCAUAUGCCAACAAAUAAAAAUGGAACAGAGCCAUUCGAUAUUUUUGGGUCGAAUGCUGAACUGACCCAGGAGCAAGGAAAUUGUAAAAUGGAUGUUAAUGAUUUAAUGGCUGGUAUGUCCAUUAAUGAAAAUGUCCCAAAGAUGAAUCAACCAGGAACCACAUCUGUGGUGCUCCCAGAAAGUAUCUUUGCAGAUCCAAGUAAUCAUUCUGGACAUCAGCUCUCAAAUGAUGCUUUAACUAGCAUACUUGGUUCUCAAGCGACCACAAUGAAUGCAAAUUCAAUAUUUCCUUCUGGUACUAUGACAUAUAAUAUUCCUCCUGGCAUUAUGUUGAAUCCUGCAUUUCGUACGCAGCCUGUAAAUUAUGGUGGCAUGGGGAAUUUUCUUGCGCAUCAGCAAUUUCUGGCUACAAUGUCCAACUUCCAACACUUAAGUAACCUCAAUGCACAAAAUCCUGGAGUUAGUAAUGUUCUUGGUGCUAAUGGAGGUGGAUAUUCUUCAGCCUUUCCGGAUAUUUUCCAAUCAAAUUAUCCAAAUCAAGCUCCUAGUUCACUGAUGAACAACUCAAAGAAAGAGGAAACCAGAGCAUUUGAUUUUAUUUCGGACCAUCUUGCAGCGGCACGUGAUCCAAAGAGGGUGGCUUAAAUCUUUGAACUUCAUAUGUUUCACCUUGAUGGGCCUCCUCUGGUUCAAUAGUGCAUUUAUUUGAAGUGAAUAGAUCGAACCAGGUAAAACAUUCUUUGGCAAUAAUGAAAGUUUAGGAUUGAAAGUGAUGAAGGCGUGGGGAGAUCCCGGAACUAGAUUCUGUAUUUGAGAUUAGGCAGAGAGAUGUGGUUUCAAGCUUCUUGUUCAUUUUCAGCUUGUGUUUUUGUGUUUCCCCACACUCACAGGAAUGUCUGUGGUACAAUGUAUUUGAACAUAGUUAAUAAAGAUGAUGUUAGUGAUGUUUAUUGCUACGUUGCACUACCAGACCGUUCUUCGCCUGUAGUUGUCCAAUGGCGCUAAGAUUUGUAACCCUGGAAUUUGAAGCAGUAGUGGGCGACUAGGCAUCUCAAUUUAAGCUUUGUUGUCUAUAGCAAAUAUCUAAGGUUCAGAGCCUGUGGCAUUUAUGCUUUGAACUUCUUACUUUGAAUGCAUUUGCCUUAAGUUGCAGAUGAUAAGCUAUUGAUUACCAACUCAUCUUUGCCUUCACGUGGGCUUAUUGGAGGAAUUCUUAAACUUCAGGAUCCAUCUCAUCCGGAAAAUGUGCAGUAAUAAGCAAAAAGGAGUUGGAUUUGUUCCUCAUCCCUUCUGUUUUCUAUUAUUUAAAGAUAAGACUUCUCCUCCUCUUCUCCCCAUUUAUGCCACUGUUUUCCUCCUAUUAGUACCUUGUGAGACUGUUAGAUUUCAUGCAAAAAC
This 3883-nucleotide unclassified non-coding RNA is filed under the name Hevea brasiliensis (rubber tree). Lineage: Eukaryota; Viridiplantae; Streptophyta; Magnoliopsida; Malpighiales; Euphorbiaceae. The record is from RNAcentral.